UACGGGGGGGGCAAGCGUUGUUCGGAAUUACUGGGCGUAAAGGGCCCGUAGGUGGCCAACUAAGUCAGACGUGAAAUCCCUCGGCUUAACCGGGGAACUGCGUCUGAUACUGGAUGGCUUGAGUUCGGGAGAGGGAUGCGGAAUUCCAGGUGUAGCGGUGAAAUGCGUAGAUAUCGUAAGGAAGACCAGUGGCGAAGGCGGGUCUCUGGACAGUUCCUGACGCUGAGGCACGAAGGCCAGGGGAGCAAACGGG
This 253-nucleotide ribosomal RNA is filed under the name uncultured bacterium. Its description in RNAcentral is "partial 16S ribosomal RNA". It matches the Rfam family "Bacterial small subunit ribosomal RNA", at positions 524 to 776 of the family's 1533-position model. The record is from RNAcentral.